CCUACGAGUGACAGCAGUGAGGAAUAUUGGUCAAUGGACGCGAGUCUGAACCAGCCAUGCCGCGUGCAGGAUGACGGCUCUAUGAGUUGUACACCGCUUUUGUACGAGGGUAAACCCCGAUACGUGUAUCGGGUUGAAAGUAUCUUACGAAUAAGGAUCGGCUAACUCCGUGCCAGCAGCCGCGGUAAUACGGAGGAUCCGAGCUUUAUCCGGAUUUAUUGGGUUUAAAGGGUGGGUAGGCGGUUUUAUAAGUUAGAGGUGAAAUGUCGGGGCUCAACCCCGAAACUGCCUCUAAAACUGUUGGACUAGAGAAUAGUUGCGGUAGGCGGAAUGUAUGGUGUAGCGGUGAAAUGCUUAGAGAUCAUACAGAACACCGAUUGCGAAGGCAGCUUACCAAACUAAAUCUGACGUUGAGGCACGAAAGCGUGGGUAGCAAACAGGAUUAGAUACCCUGGUAGUC
RNAcentral lists this ribosomal RNA (460 nucleotides) under uncultured bacterium. RNAcentral describes it as "partial 16S ribosomal RNA". It matches the Rfam family "Bacterial small subunit ribosomal RNA", at positions 338 to 795 of the family's 1533-position model. The record is from RNAcentral.